CCCUUAGAUGUUCUGGGCGGCCCGCGCACUACAUUGGCACUCUCAAUAAGUUCCUAGAUCUAAAACUUUGGGGUAUUCUAUUAAGUGGUGUCGUGACUGGGAUUAACCCUUGCAAUUAUUGGUUACGAACGAGGAAUUCCUUGUAAUCGCGGUUUAUCAGCCCGCGUUGAAUGCGUCCCUGCCCUUUGUACACACCGCCCGUCGCUCCUACCGAUGAAUCGUCCGGUGAAGUUCAUGGAGUGAUGGUUGUUCCAGCUGCUGUCGAAGUGAAAUGGACCUCACGAUUUAGAGGAAGGAGAAGUCGUAACA
RNAcentral lists this ribosomal RNA (309 nucleotides) under uncultured eukaryote. Its description in RNAcentral is "partial 18S ribosomal RNA". It matches the Rfam family "Eukaryotic small subunit ribosomal RNA", at positions 1470 to 1796 of the family's 1831-position model. The record is from RNAcentral.